UACGUAGGGAGCGCGCGUUGUUCGGAAUCACUGGGCGUAAAGCGCACGCAGGCGGAUUGAUAAGUCAGGGGUGAAAUCCCGGAGCUCAACUUCGGAAUUGCCUUUGAUACUGUCUGUCUUGAGUCCGGGAGAGGUGAGUGGAAUUCCUAGUGUAGAGGUGAAAUUCGUAGAUAUUAGGAAGAACACCAGUGGCGAAGGCGGCUCACUGGCCCGGUACUGACGCUCAUGUGCGAAAGCGUGGGGAGCAAACAGG
RNAcentral lists this ribosomal RNA (253 nucleotides) under uncultured bacterium. RNAcentral describes it as "partial 16S ribosomal RNA". It matches the Rfam family "Bacterial small subunit ribosomal RNA", at positions 524 to 776 of the family's 1533-position model. The record is from RNAcentral.